CCUACGGGGGGCAGCAGUGGGGAAUAUUGCACAAUGGGCGCAAGCCUGAUGCAGCAACGCCGCGUGAGGGACGACGGCCUUCGGGUUGUAAACCUCUUUUAGUAGGGAAGAAGCGAAAGUGACAGUACCUGCAGAAAAAGCACCGGCUAACUACGUGCCAGCAGCCGCGGUAAUACGUAGGGUGCAAGCGUUGUCCGGAAUUAUUGGGCGUAAAGAGCUCGUAGGCGGUUUGUCGCGUCUGCUGUGAAAACCCGAGGCUCAACCUCGGGCCUGCAGUGGG
This 280-nucleotide ribosomal RNA is filed under the name uncultured bacterium. RNAcentral's name for it is "partial 16S ribosomal RNA". It matches the Rfam family "Bacterial small subunit ribosomal RNA", at positions 338 to 630 of the family's 1533-position model. The record is from RNAcentral.